Vulpes vulpes (red fox) is the source of this 1684-nucleotide long non-coding RNA. Lineage: Eukaryota; Metazoa; Chordata; Mammalia; Carnivora; Canidae. The record is from Ensembl.
UAAAAAUCAAACUUCCAGGGACGCCUGGGUGGCUUGGUUGUGGCUGGCUCGGUCAGUGGAGCGGCGACUCUUGGUAUCGGGGUUGUGAGUUCGAGCCCUAUGUUGGGCGUAGAGAUCACUUAAAAAAAAAAUCCACUGAGUAAGUUCAAUUCAUGCUCGGGCAGGUAGAGUUGCGCUCUCAGGAGUUGUGCAAAAUGGAAGAUUUUUACAGGAAGGCAGGACAAGGAAAUUACUAGGAAGAGAAAGAAAGGCUCCUUCCAGGCAAGGUCACCUUCCCUGAGGGGAAGGGCAGAGGUCUCACUAGUGGGUCUCCCCACCUCCCUUUUGGGGGAAACAGAGUCCGUCACUGAUGCUCACCCAGAAAUUCCUCACUGGGGGUUUCUGGGCGAGGCUGGAAGCUGGUCAGGUUACAUGCGGAGCCCUGGUUUGCCGACGUGGCGGAGGGUCCCCUUUGCGGCCUGUGGCUUUCCUUCGGAUGCAUGUUCCGUCUGCCCCCCGUCAGCCAAGGCAGGUGGAAGCUGGCCUGGCCAUGCCGGGGGCGGGGCGGGGGCCUCCGGAGGGAGGCUUUGUGUGGGAGCGUCCUGGCUUUGAGACUUUGGCACAUCUUAUUGGUCUUCACGUUCGCCCAGCAAAUCCCCGCCCAGACUUUAGGGCUGGGGCUCCCCGGCUUUGUGUCCCAUGUUCCUGAUGGAGAAGCCCUGGAGGAGGGAGGACAGCCCUCCAGGCCGGGUGGGAGCGUGGGCUCCGGCCUCGGGGCUCCCGGCGUCGCCUGGCGCGGACUUACCUCCGAGACACCUCACUAGUGAGUCAGAAGCCACACCAGGCGCAGACAAGGCCCACUCAGAGGCGGGUCCCAAGGGCACCGGCACCGUGACCUGCCCGGGAGGGGUGUUCACCUGGGUGGACUUCUGCUCACGGCUCCUGGGAUCCCCUCUCUCCUGGUCUUCAGGCCUUGUUUUCCCUUUUUCCCUAGAGCUCCACGCUAAUCCUGUGCCUUUUAUGAGCCCCGCGAAGGUGACCCAUCCUCCAGGUGCAUUGACAUUUGGGGAAGAAGCCCAGGUUCUGGAGAACCCGCCCCCGCUGGCGUCCUGGGACCAGGACAUUGUGAAAGCCACCAGCAGAGCACCGUUAAGUGCCGCCAGCAGGAGGUCGCAGGCCGCUCCGGACCCGGGUGACCACGCCGACAGGUAUGUCAGCGAGCCCCCACGGAGCCCCUGCAUACGGGCCUCCGGGGACCCUCCUGGGCCGGGGUGUGCUCCGGAGUGCCGUCUGGGGAGGCAGUCCUGGGCCCACGGGCCACGUGAGCCGCGAGUGCCGCCAGCCCCCCUGUCCUGCGCCUUUCCCCCUUCAUCUUCAGAGACUCCUGGGGACCUUCCAUCACAAUCACGAGCUUCUGGAACAGCAGUGGCCCGGACCCCUGUCGCCCACGGAAAUGUGCGGUCGGGCCAGGGAGCAGUGUGCCCUGUGGCCUUCUCCAGGUGGGUGCCCACCCGGCACGGGUGACCGUGGCCAGAGCGCCGCUGGGGUCAGGUGGCCCUGGGGCCCACGGCUGAGGCCCGUCCCCAGGAUGCUGCUUGGGCGGCCCAAGAGCAGGCCAUGACUCGGGGCCUCCGUAAAGGACCAAGGACACUGCAUCGUUGACGUCUGCAGGAGCACCACGGCCCGGCUGGGUGCUCUGGUGUGU